UACAGAGGGUGCGAGCGUUAAUCGGAAUUACUGGGCGUAAAGCGUGCGCAGGCGGUGAUGUAAGACAGAUGUGAAAUCCCCGGGCUUAACCUGGGAACUGCAUUUGUGACUGCAUCGCUGGAGUGCGGCAGAGGGGGAUGGAAUUCCGCGUGUAGCAGUGAAAUGCGUAGAUAUGCGGAGGAACACCGAUGGCGAAGGCAAUCCCCUGGGCCUGCACUGACGCUCAUGCACGAAAGCGUGGGGAGCAAACAGG
RNAcentral lists this ribosomal RNA (253 nucleotides) under uncultured bacterium. RNAcentral's name for it is "partial 16S ribosomal RNA". It matches the Rfam family "Bacterial small subunit ribosomal RNA", at positions 524 to 776 of the family's 1533-position model. The record is from RNAcentral.